ACCUACAGCCUCACCACACUGAACACCAUGGAUCUUAUCUGAUCCCAGAAGUUAAGCAUGGUUAGGCCUGGAUAGUACUUGGAUGGGAGACCAACUAGGAUUACUAGGUAUUUGGGUG
RNAcentral lists this ribosomal RNA (118 nucleotides) under Microtus ochrogaster (prairie vole). The record is from RNAcentral. Lineage: Eukaryota; Metazoa; Chordata; Mammalia; Rodentia; Cricetidae.